AUUUGACACCUGUAUUGAAAAUACCAUAUUGUAUUCAUAUAGAAUCAGUAUGGUAUCAUUGUUUGUCUGCUCACUGAUUGUUGAAACUAAGAGCUAGUUUGAUCUGUUUAGAUCUAAAGUAUCCAAAGUUGAGCUCUAAUGUUUCUUCACCCCUGUGUGUGUGAUAUGUGAUUUCCUACAUGCUGGCAGAGCAGAGCGGCAGUUUGUGCUCACAGAUGGUGACAGUGUGGAGAGACGGUGGUGUUUCCUCAGAAGAACCAGCAGAGUCACAAAGGACACCAGUCCAUCUCACCACCUUGACUCACUGACUGAUGCUCGUCUGCACUGCACAGAGGAAAUCAACUGACCGAGGAGUGUUUCUGAGUGAGGGGGAGAGGAGUCAUCAUCCAGGUAAAGUGACGUGGAUCAGUGGAUACACUUGUCUCCCCUUUAAAGGAGACGAUCCAAGUCAUCCUUAAAUAUGGGCAGGAUAUCAGUCUUGGACUGUCUAACCUGCCGGAGCAGCAUUGAAUGACCACCGCACAUGAGCAUGUUCCUGCAACAUUCAGCAUCUGAUCCUUCAUCUGUGUGCUGCUGCUUUUGUGUCAAAUGUCAAACAGCUGGAGAAGAAACUACACCAGUGUACUGGGAUGUUUCAGCAACACGUGCCAGAUGCUGUUCCUUCAUGGUGACAUCACCAGAGACAGUCCCGCCCACCUCAGGACCCAUUGAUUAUGAUGAUUAUAAUGAUGACAGCGAGCAGAACUAAGACUGUAAAAAUCCACGACCAGAAUGUUUAGAUGCUUUCUAAUUAUUAAUGAAUACUGAGAGCCUCUUUCUGUGUUUUGUCUGUUUUGGGUUUUUACCUCAUUUGUUACUAACAAAGUUCACCAAACUCACACAGUUUACAUUCUGCGUCAAGGUUUAAUUUCUUAGAAAUCAUAGUUUUUCUCCUUUUCUCUUUUUCUCUUUUGUAAUUGAUGACAAUUACAAAAGUCACUGCGCUGCAGUGAAUAUACUGCGCUGCUUCCUUUUAUUGCGUCACACAUUGCUUUAAGUUUUUCAGUGUCCAGUUAUUUUUUACUGCUGUUUGAAUUCUCUGAAUGUUUGACCCUGUAGACAGUUUGAUGGACUGCUUGUCUUCCUGUUUGUUACCGCCGCCUGUUUUUGACUAAA
Maylandia zebra (zebra mbuna) is the source of this 1155-nucleotide non-coding RNA. NCBI's taxonomy places the organism in Eukaryota, Metazoa, Chordata, Actinopteri, Cichliformes, Cichlidae. The record is from RefSeq and is a predicted model, not a curated record.